Molecule: ribosomal RNA, 403 nt
Filed under: uncultured bacterium
Lineage: Bacteria
Description: bacterial SSU rRNA
Rfam family: Bacterial small subunit ribosomal RNA
Source: RNAcentral
GGAAUAUUGCACAAUGGGCGCCAGCCUGAUGCAGCGACGCCGCGUGGGGGAUGACGGCCUUCGGGUUGUAAACCUCUUUCAGCAUCGACGAAGCGCAAGUGACGGUAGAUGCAGCAGAAGCACCGGCCAACUCCGUGCCAGCAGCAGCGGUAAUACGUAGGGUGCGAGCGUUGUCCGGAAUUACCGGGCGUAAAGAGCUCGUAGGUGGUUUGUCGCGUUGUUCGUGAAAACCGGGGGCUUAACCCUCGGCGUGCGGGCGAUACGGGCAGACUGGAGUACUGCAGGGAAGACUGGAAUUCCUGGUGUAGCGGUGGAAUGCGCAGAUAUCAGGAGGAACACCGGUGGCGAAGGCGGGUCUCUGGGCAGUAACUGACGCUGAGGAGCGAAAGCGUGGGGAGCGAAC